GAUGAACGCUGGCGGCGUGCCUAAUACAUGCAAGUCGAGCGAACGGACGAGAAGCUUGCUUCUCUGCUGUUAGCGGCGGACGGGUGAGUAACACGUGGAUAACCUACCUAUAAGACUGGGAUAACUUCGGGAAACCGGAGCUAAUACCGGAUAAUAUUUUGAACCGCAUGGUUCAAAAGUGAAAGACGGUCUUGCUGUCACUUAUAGAUGGAUCCGCGCUGCAUUAGCUAGUUGGUAAGGUAACGGCUUACCAAGGCAACGAUGCAUAGCCGACCUGAGAGGGUGAUCGGCCACACUGGAACUGAGACACGGUCCAGACUCCUACGGGAGGCAGCAGUAGGGAAUCUUCCGCAAUGGGCGAAAGCCUGACGGAGCAACGCCGCGUGAGUGAUGAAGGUCUUCGGAUCGUAAAACUCUGUUAUUAGGGAAGAACAUAUGUGUAAGUAACUGUGCACAUCUCGACGGUACCUAAUCAGAAAGCCACGGCUAACUACGUG
This 497-nucleotide ribosomal RNA is filed under the name uncultured bacterium. RNAcentral's name for it is "partial 16S ribosomal RNA". It matches the Rfam family "Bacterial small subunit ribosomal RNA", at positions 28 to 507 of the family's 1533-position model. The record is from RNAcentral.